UACGUAGGUGGCAAGCGUUGUCCGGAUUUAUUGGGUUUAAAGGGUGCGUAGGCGGUUCUAUAAGUCAGUGGUGAAAUCCGGCAGCUCAACUGUCGAUGUGCCAUUGAUACUGCAGAACUUGAGUACAGACGAGGUAGGCGGAAUUGACGGUGUGGCGGUGAAAUGCUUAGAUAUCGUCAAGAACACCGAUAGCGAAGGCAGCUUACUAGGCUGUAACUGACGCUGAUGCACGAAAGUGUGGGGAUCAAACAGG
This 253-nucleotide ribosomal RNA is filed under the name uncultured bacterium. RNAcentral's name for it is "partial 16S ribosomal RNA". It matches the Rfam family "Bacterial small subunit ribosomal RNA", at positions 524 to 776 of the family's 1533-position model. The record is from RNAcentral.